Molecule: ribosomal RNA, 438 nt
Filed under: uncultured bacterium
Lineage: Bacteria
Description: bacterial SSU rRNA
Rfam family: Bacterial small subunit ribosomal RNA
Source: RNAcentral
CGAACGCUGGCGGCAUGCCUAACACAUGCAAGUCGAACGAACCCUUCGGGGUUAGUGGCGCACGGGUGCGUAACACGUGGGAAUCUGCCCUUUGCUUCGGAAUAACAGUUAGAAAUGACUGCUAAUACCGGAUGAUGUCGAAAGACCAAAGAUUUAUCGGCAAAGGAUGAGCCCGCGUAGGAUUAGGUAGUUGGUGGGGUAAAGGCCUACCAAGCCGACGAUCCUUAGCUGGUCUGAGAGGAUGAUCAGCCACACUGGGACUGAGACACGGCCCAGACUCCUACGGGAGGCAGCAGUGGGGAAUAUUGGACAAUGGGCGAAAGCCUGAUCCAGCAAUGCCGCGUGAGUGAUGAAGGCCUUAGGGUUGUAAAGCUCUUUUACCAGGGAUGAUAAUGACAGUACCUGGAGAAUAAGCUCCGGCUAACUCCGUGCCAGCAG